GACGAACGCUGGCGGCGUGCCUAACACAUGCAAGUCGAGCGAGGACAGUCCUUCGGGGCUGAGCCGAGCGGCGGACGGGUGCGUAACACGUGAGCAACCUGUCUCCGUGCGGGGGAUAAC
Molecule: ribosomal RNA, 120 nt
Filed under: uncultured bacterium
Lineage: Bacteria
Description: partial 16S ribosomal RNA
Rfam family: Bacterial small subunit ribosomal RNA
Source: RNAcentral